UUUAUGGAGAGUUUGAUCCUGGCUCAGGACGAACGCUGGCGGCGUGCCUAAUACAUGCAAGUCGAGCGGAGAUUUAAAAGCUUGCUUUUAAAUCUUAGCGGCGGACGGGUGAGUAACACGUGGGCAACCUGCCCUGUAGACUGGGAUAACUUCGGGAAACCGAAGCUAAUACCGGAUAAUCUUUAGCNUCACAUGGUGCAAAAGUAAAAGUUGGGUUUUACCUAACACUACAGGAUGGGCCCGCGGCGCAUUAGCUAGUUGGUAAGGUAAUGGCUUACCAAGGCNACGAUGCGUAGCCGACCUGAGAGGGUGAUCGGCCACACUGGGACUGAGACACGGCCCAGACUCCUACGGGAGGCAGCAGUAGGGAAUCUUCCGCAAUGGACGAAAGUCUGACGGAGCAACGCCGCGUGAACGAUGAAGGCCUUCGGGUCGUAAAGUUCUGUUGUUAGGGAAGAACAAGUACCGUUCGAAUAGGGCGGUACCUUGACGGUACCUAACCAGAAAGCCACGGCUAACAGGCCUUCGGGUCGUAAAGUUCUGUUGUUAGGGAAGAACAAGUACCGUUCGAAUAGGGCGGUACCUUGACGGUACCUAACCAGAAAGCCACGGCUAAC
RNAcentral lists this non-coding RNA (617 nucleotides) under Anaerobacillus isosaccharinicus. RNAcentral's name for it is "bacterial SSU rRNA". It matches the Rfam family "Bacterial small subunit ribosomal RNA", at positions 1 to 501 of the family's 1533-position model. Lineage: Bacteria; Bacillati; Bacillota; Bacilli; Caryophanales; Bacillaceae. The record is from RNAcentral.